Molecule: ribosomal RNA, 2143 nt
Filed under: Pseudomonas asplenii
Lineage: Bacteria; Pseudomonadati; Pseudomonadota; Gammaproteobacteria; Pseudomonadales; Pseudomonadaceae
Description: bacterial LSU rRNA
Rfam family: Bacterial large subunit ribosomal RNA
Source: RNAcentral
GUGAAAGGCUAAUCAAGCUCGGAGAUAGCUGGUUCUCCUCGAAAGCUAUUUAGGUAGCGCCUCAUGUAUCACUGUAGGGGGUAGAGCACUGUUUCGGCUAGGGGGUCAUCCCGACUUACCAAACCGAUGCAAACUCCGAAUACCUACAAGUGCCGAGCAUGGGAGACACACGGCGGGUGCUAACGUCCGUCGUGAAAAGGGAAACAACCCAGACCGUCAGCUAAGGUCCCAAAGUUAUGGUUAAGUGGGAAACGAUGUGGGAAGGCUUAGACAGCUAGGAGGUUGGCUUAGAAGCAGCCACCCUUUAAAGAAAGCGUAAUAGCUCACUAGUCGAGUCGGCCUGCGCGGAAGAUGUAACGGGGCUCAAACCAUACACCGAAGCUACGGGUAUCACCUUCGGGUGAUGCGGUAGAGGAGCGUUCUGUAAGCCUGUGAAGGUGAGUUGAGAAGCUUGCUGGAGGUAUCAGAAGUGCGAAUGCUGACAUGAGUAACGACAAUGGGUGUGAAAAACACCCACGCCGAAAGACCAAGGUUUCCUGCGCAACGUUAAUCGACGCAGGGUUAGUCGGUCCCUAAGGCGAGGCUGAAAAGCGUAGUCGAUGGAAAACAGGUUAAUAUUCCUGUACUUCUGGUUAUUGCGAUGGAGGGACGGAGAAGGCUAGGCCAGCUUGGCGUUGGUUGUCCAAGUUUAAGGUGGUAGGCUGAGAUCUUAGGUAAAUCCGGGAUCUUAAGGCCGAGAGCUGAUGACGAGUUACCCUUUGGGUGACGAAGUGGUUGAUGCCAUGCUUCCAAGAAAAGCUUCUAAGCUUCAGGUAACCAGGAACCGUACCCCAAACCGACACAGGUGGUUGGGUAGAGAAUACCAAGGCGCUUGAGAGAACUCGGGUGAAGGAACUAGGCAAAAUGGCACCGUAACUUCGGGAGAAGGUGCGCCGGUGAGGGUGAAGGACUUGCUCCGUAAGCUCAUGCCGGUCGAAGAUACCAGGCCGCUGCGACUGUUUAUUAAAAACACAGCACUCUGCAAACACGAAAGUGGACGUAUAGGGUGUGACGCCUGCCCGGUGCCGGAAGGUUAAUUGAUGGGGUUAGCUAACGCGAAGCUCUUGAUCGAAGCCCCGGUAAACGGCGGCCGUAACUAUAACGGUCCUAAGGUAGCGAAAUUCCUUGUCGGGUAAGUUCCGACCUGCACGAAUGGCGUAACGAUGGCGGCGCUGUCUCCACCCGAGACUCAGUGAAAUUGAAAUCGCUGUGAAGAUGCAGUGUAUCCGCGGCUAGACGGAAAGACCCCGUGAACCUUUACUAUAGCUUUGCACUGGACUUUGAAUUUGCUUGUGUAGGAUAGGUGGGAGGCUUUGAAGCGUGGACGCCAGUUCGCGUGGAGCCAUCCUUGAAAUACCACCCUGGCAACUUUGAGGUUCUAACUCAGGUCCGUUAUCCGGAUCGAGGACAGUGUAUGGUGGGUAGUUUGACUGGGGCGGUCUCCUCCUAAAGAGUAACGGAGGAGUACGAAGGUGCGCUCAGACCGGUCGGAAAUCGGUCGUAGAGUAUAAAGGCAAAAGCGCGCUUGACUGCGAGACAGACACGUCGAGCAGGUACGAAAGUAGGUCUUAGUGAUCCGGUGGUUCUGUAUGGAAGGGCCAUCGCUCAACGGAUAAAAGGUACUCCGGGGAUAACAGGCUGAUACCGCCCAAGAGUUCAUAUCGACGGCGGUGUUUGGCACCUCGAUGUCGGCUCAUCACAUCCUGGGGCUGAAGCCGGUCCCAAGGGUAUGGCUGUUCGCCAUUUAAAGUGGUACGCGAGCUGGGUUUAGAACGUCGUGAGACAGUUCGGUCCCUAUCUGCCGUGGACGUUUGAGAUUUGAGAGGGGCUGCUCCUAGUACGAGAGGACCGGAGUGGACGAACCUCUGGUGUUCCGGUUGUCACGCCAGUGGCAUUGCCGGGUAGCUAUGUUCGGGAAAGAUAACCGCUGAAAGCAUCUAAGCGGGAAACUUGCCUCAAGAUGAGAUCUCACUGGAACCUUGAGUUCCCUGAAGGGCCGUCGAAGACUACGACGUUGAUAGGUUGGGUGUGUAAGCGCUGUGAGGCGUUGAGCUAACCAAUACUAAUUGCCCGUGAGGCUUGACCAUAUAACACCCAAGCAAUU